This 253-nucleotide ribosomal RNA is filed under the name uncultured bacterium. Its description in RNAcentral is "partial 16S ribosomal RNA". It matches the Rfam family "Bacterial small subunit ribosomal RNA", at positions 524 to 776 of the family's 1533-position model. The record is from RNAcentral.
UACGUAGGGGGCUAGCGUUGUCCGGAUUUAUUGGGCGUAAAGAGCGUGUAGGCGGCCAGGUAGGUCUGCUGUGAAAACUGGAGGCUCAACCUCCAGACGUCGACGGAAACCGUGUGGCUAGAGUCCGGAAGAGGAGAGUGGAAUUCCUGGUGUAGCGGUGAAAUGCGCAGAUAUCAGGAGGAACACCGGCGGUGUAGACGGCUUACUGGACCAUAACUGACGCUGAGGCACGAAAGCGUGGGUAGCAAACAGG